Molecule: ribosomal RNA, 253 nt
Filed under: uncultured bacterium
Lineage: Bacteria
Description: partial 16S ribosomal RNA
Rfam family: Bacterial small subunit ribosomal RNA
Source: RNAcentral
UACAGAGGGUGCAAGCGUUAAUCGGAUUUACUGGGCGUAAAGGGUGCGCAGGUGGUUACGUAAGUCUGAUGUGAAAGCCCCGGGCUCAACCUGGGAACUGCAUUGGAGACUGCGUGGCUAGAGUGUGGCAGAGGGGGGUGGAAUUCCGCGUGUAGCAGUGAAAUGCGUAGAGAUGCGGAGGAACACCAAUGGCGAAGGCAGCCCCCUGGGUUAACACUGACACUCAUGCACGAAAGCGUGGGGAGCAAACAGG